UUGGGGAGAGUGAGAGAGAGGUUCCUGGAGGACACAACUCCUGACCUUGGCUCUCUCCAGAUGGAGUGGGAAGUUGACUCAAAUUGCCUACUUUGGUUCUUGUUGUUUCUGAGCGAUUCCAGACAUCUCAUUGCCAUCUAUUGACUCCUGAGAAGACUCUAAUUGAGUUGGAUUUUCUAAGUUAACCUCAUGUGAGCUGAGCCUACAGACUGUGGUGGCUGUCAUUUCUGUCACCUUCUUCCUGAUUGAUCAAUGAGCUCUGACCUAAAUCCAACGACUGUUUGGAUGGGCUUACCUCAGUUUAUUUAGACAGGAAGGUGGGAACUAGAUAGAGAGGGAGGCAGAGUAGGUCCAAUGGUAUUGGACAGGGAAGAGACCCAUGAGGGUCAGAGGAAACUGGGACAGAUAGAUGGGGAAAAGAUUAGGGAUCUUCCUAGCCCAACAUCCUUUCCUAAUUCAUGACUAUCAACCUGAAUAAACAUACUUCCGGUUCUACUAGAAAGUCAGGCCAGGUUUGGGAGUGAACUCUAGGACUGAGGGUACCCUUGGGCCAGGGAGAAGCAGCUAAACAGCAACAAUAAUCAACCAAUCUUAUCACUGGUCUAAUUUACCACUUAACAACAGCAAGCCCCAAGAACUCUCUUCUUAAAGGGUUCAAAUCCAAUGGUCUUUUCUCUCAAACUUCUUAACCUCCCUACAGUAUUUGACCAUCCUCACUAUUCUCUUAUGAUAGAGAUGCUUUCCCUUCUCUGAAAUAGCUCUCUCAGUAUCCCUUCUAUUUAACCAUUCUUUCUCUAUUUCCUUUUUCAUAUGACAGACCAUAACUGUGGUACUGUCUUGGGCCUUCUCUUUUUUCUCUAUGCUUUCUCACUUGGUGACUUCAUCAGUUGCCACAAAUUUAUUUGUCAUUUUUAUUCAGAUUCUUAUUUUUUAAAAAUAUUUUUAUUUCUUUAAGUAUUUCCCAAUUGCAUUUUUUAAAGUUUUGACAUUCUUUUAUUUAGUUACUUUUUUUUUUGCUGAGGCAUGAAGCCUACUUUCCUUUUAUUUAACAUUCUUUUAAAAUAUUUUAUUUCAUUAAUAUUUUCUGACAUACAAACAUUUUUAACAUUCAUUUUUUGAAAUUUUGAGUUCAUUCUUAAUUCUUUCUUCCUCCUGUCCUUCCUCUUCCCCUCUGAUACUGAUUAUAUGUCAUGUGAAGUCAUGUAAAACAUAUUUCCAUAUUAGUCAUAUUACGAAAGGAAGCACACAUACAAAGAAAAAAGAAAAAGAAAGUAAAAAAGCAUGUUUGUCUUGGGCAGAUGAUUCUUAACUUUUAUAAUCCAGCACUAAUCUCCUCACCCAAAACCACCAUUCUUUUAACAUCCUUAUUUCUUCCUAUUAGAAUGUGGUUCUUUGUGAGCAGGGGCUUGAUGCUUUUCUAUUUGCAUCCCCAAUGCUUAGCAUGAUGCCUUAUGCACAGUAAGCAUUUAGUAAAUGCCGAUUCAUUCAUUUGUGUCAUUCAGGUUCACAACCUCCAUGUGAUCUGUCAUUUCAUAUUCCCUCUCUACUGCCUAUCCAAUGAGUUGCCAAAGUUUUUUGUUUUUUCUUUCACCAUAUUUCUCACUUCUAUCCCCUUCUUUUGGACUAGGCCAUCUGGUCAAGGGCUACUCAUCCACCUUUCCCCCAACUCACACCAGUAGCUCCAAGUUGUAUUUUGGGCAGUAGCCAUACCCCAGUUAAACUCUCUUGGCAGAUGGACUAAACCAGACUGAAGGGAAUCAAGAAGCCUCAAAACCAUUAGUGAGUUAGGGGAUGUUUGUUCUAAGAGACUUUCAAUAAUUUGUUCAAAGGGUCAUGAAGGCAACUGAGGAGUACCUAGAGCAUGGUCCGACAUCAAAGACCCCGAGGAGGUCGUUUGCAACCUUCUUGAUUUUGGUCUUGCCACUGGACUUUGAGGAUUCUGGACAUCAGAGUGAGGCUGACAACUCUGCCCAACUCUGCCUCCCUUAAAUCAAAUCUACAGUCAAGUUGAGACCUCACUUUCAUUCCCACUCCUAUGUCUUUGGUCCUUUUCAAAAAUAAAGGACAAGAUGGCAGCUGUUUGGUUCAAUGAAUGGAGAGCCAGGCCUAGAGAGGGGAGGUCCUAGGUUCAAAUAUGGCCUUAGAUAUUUCCUAGCUGUGUGGCCCUGGGAAAGUCAAUUAAUCCCCAUUUGCCUAGACAUUACCUGAGUUUUUCUUCUAUCUUGGAACCAGUAUAGAGUAUUAAUUCUAAGAUGAAACAUAAGGAUUUAAAAACAACAACAAAGAACAAACAAUAACUCAAACGCUAGUUCAAGCCUUUGUCAACUCAUGACUUAUCUUGCCUGGACUAUUGCCACAGCCUCCAGGUCUACAACUACCAUCUACUCUCCAAAGUCCUGAACUCUUUUUUCCUCACUUGUGAUAUCUGCUACUUUCUUUUUUCCCACAAAUCUCCUGACUAAAAGGGGAGGGGAUGAGUUUGAGAGUUUGGAGACUGUCCACUUGGUGGCUUAGCCUCCUUCCCUUAAGUCUUUCAACCCCAAAUGAAGGCUACACUUUCACAUAAUAAUUAAAAUAUCAGCAGAGGUUUUUGAUUUUUUUUUCCAUUUAUACUUAUCAAUGAAAGUGACUAGAUGGGAACAGGAAUUUCCAGGAGCCUAGAGUGAAUUGUCAGAGCUGUUAAUUUAGAGAGAAUUACCAAAGGGUCAUCAAUUGUUAUGCUGAGUGGGGCAUUUAAAAACCAAGAAAUAGAAUCCCUUUUUUGUUGUCAGACUGGGCAGGAGAGGCAGAAUAGGGAGAGAGCACUGCAACUUUGCUAGAGCCCGCAGAAAGUGCUUCUGAAGACUAGGCAAAGAAGAAAGUAGAGACAAAAUUGACUACAAGUUGACUGUGGCGUUGACUUUCCUGAAAAGUUCUCCUGAGUAUGCUUGGCAAUACCUGGCUGGAGAUUGGAAGAAGUUUUCAGAUCUUCACUAAAGGAAUCCUUGAGGGAUGCAGGUAGACACCAGGGAGUUUCUUCUAGUAUCUUUAUACCACGGAGCCAUCUUUCAAGGAUGAUUGAUUUGUUAUACAAGGAAGUCUACUUCAUUAUCUCUGUUCUUACAGAUGCAGCUGAACUCAAUAAACAUUUCUUCGUCACAGGA
Non-coding RNA from Monodelphis domestica (gray short-tailed opossum), 3143 nucleotides. NCBI's taxonomy places the organism in Eukaryota, Metazoa, Chordata, Mammalia, Didelphimorphia, Didelphidae. The record is from RefSeq and is a predicted model, not a curated record.